GAUGAAGAACGUAGCGAAAUGUGAUACUUAGUGUGAAUUGCAGAAUCCCGUGAACCAUCGAGUUUUUGAACGCAAGUUGCGCCCGAAGCCGUUAGGCCGAGGGCACGCCUGCCUGGGUGUCACACAUCGUUGCCCCAAUGCCAAUCGCCUCACUUUGUAGGUAUUUGCUUGGGGUGAAUGUUGGCCUCCCGUGAGCUUUGUCUCACGGUUGGUUGAAAAUCGAGUGCAUGGUGUCGGGUGUACCAUGAUGGAUGGUGGUUGAGUGAUGAUGCUCGAGACCAAUCAUGGGUAACUCCACCAGAAUUGGGCUCGGUGACCCACAUGCGUCCCUUGGAUGCUCCCUAAGGAGACCUCAGGUCAAGCGGGGCUACCCGCUGAGUUUAAGCAUAUCAAUAAGCGGAGGA
This 404-nucleotide unclassified non-coding RNA is filed under the name soil metagenome. RNAcentral describes it as "partial contains 5.8S ribosomal RNA, internal transcribed spacer 2, and large subunit ribosomal RNA". The stretch from base 1 to 122 matches the Rfam family "5.8S ribosomal RNA", at positions 35 to 154 of the family's 154-position model. The record is from RNAcentral.